Long non-coding RNA from Rhincodon typus (whale shark), 237 nucleotides. RefSeq lists it as uncharacterized. The record is from RefSeq and is a predicted model, not a curated record. NCBI's taxonomy places the organism in Eukaryota, Metazoa, Chordata, Chondrichthyes, Orectolobiformes, Rhincodontidae. The transcript has 3 exons.
GGCUGUGCAGUAGCUCAGUGAUUGUAUCGAUGCUGCUGCUGACUGGGAGCUGCGCCGCCAUGUUACUGUCAGGCCUGUUCCGUUCUGCAGUCUCACACUCGGUGAGACAGAUUCGUCAUGUACAAAGGACAGCUCAAUGUGCAGGAGGAAGUGGUGCGGCCUCAUUUGUGCAUAGGGAUACUCCUGAUAACAAUCCAGACACACCAUUUGAUUUCACACCAGAAAAUUAUAAGGUAA